RNAcentral lists this unclassified non-coding RNA (253 nucleotides) under plant metagenome. Its description in RNAcentral is "partial contains small subunit ribosomal RNA, internal transcribed spacer 1, and 5.8S ribosomal RNA". The stretch from base 1 to 54 matches the Rfam family "Eukaryotic small subunit ribosomal RNA", at positions 1778 to 1831 of the family's 1831-position model. The record is from RNAcentral.
GGAAGUAAAAGUCGUAGCAAGGUUUCCGUAGGUGAACCUGCGGAAGGAUCAUUAAAGAGAUCAUGCCCUCACGGGUAGACCUCCCACCCUUUGUUUACAAUACCUUUGUUGCUUUGGCGGGCCCGUUUGGCCCCGCGCUGAACAACCGGCCCCGGCUGGUCAGUGCCCGCCAGAGAACCGAAAACUCUGAAUUAAAUGUCGUCUGAGUACUAUGUAAUAGUUAAAACUUUCAACAACGGAUCUCUUGGUUCUG